RNAcentral lists this ribosomal RNA (429 nucleotides) under uncultured archaeon. RNAcentral's name for it is "bacterial SSU rRNA". It matches the Rfam family "Archaeal small subunit ribosomal RNA", at positions 474 to 903 of the family's 1478-position model. The record is from RNAcentral.
UACCUGCAGCUCGAGUGGUGAUCAUUAUUAUUGGGCCUAAAACGUCCGUAGCCGGUUUAGUAAAUGCCUGGGUAAAUCGUGUAGCUUAACUAUACGACUUCCGGGUAGACUGCUAAACUUGAGACCGGGAGAGGCUAGAGGUACUCCUGGGGUAGAGGUGAAAUUCUGUAAUCCUAGGGGGACCACCAGUGGCGAAGGCGUCUAGCUAGAACGGGUCUGACGGUGAGGGACGAAGCCCUGGGGCACAAACCGGAUUAGAUACCCCGGUAGUCCAGGGUGUAAACGCUGCUUGCUUGAUGUUAGUUGGGCUCCGAGCCCAACUAGUGUCGGAGAGAAGUUGUUAAGCAAGCUGCCUGGGAAGUACGGUCGCAAGGCUGAAACUUAAAGGAAUUGGCGGGGGAGCACAGCAACGGGUGGAGCGUGCGGUUU